GGGGUAAUAGCUCAGUGGUAGAGCGCAUGAUUAGCAUGCACAAGGUCCUGGGUUUAACCCCCAGCAUCUCCA
RNAcentral lists this transfer RNA (72 nucleotides) under Camelus bactrianus (Bactrian camel). It matches the Rfam family "tRNA". Rfam says of the family: Transfer RNA (tRNA) molecules are approximately 80 nucleotides in length. Their secondary structure includes four short double-helical elements and three loops (D, anti-codon, and T loops). The record is from Rfam by way of RNAcentral. Lineage: Eukaryota; Metazoa; Chordata; Mammalia; Artiodactyla; Camelidae. RNAcentral also lists the same sequence under 2 other names.